This is a non-coding RNA of Phaeobacter gallaeciensis, 353 nucleotides long. It matches the Rfam family "Alphaproteobacteria transfer-messenger RNA". Rfam says of the family: Bacterial tmRNA, also known as 10Sa RNA or SsrA, is named for its dual tRNA and mRNA-like properties. Its role is to liberate the mRNA from a stalled ribosome. To accomplish this part of the tmRNA is used as a reading frame that ends in a translation stop signal. The record is from Rfam. NCBI's taxonomy places the organism in Bacteria, Pseudomonadati, Pseudomonadota, Alphaproteobacteria, Rhodobacterales, Roseobacteraceae.
CCCCUUUAACUCCGCCCGGUCAGCACCUAUGUUCUCACUGUUCCCUCGUGGAACUAUGGACAUAAACGCGCUCGUAAUAAGCGGAUCGGACCCGGGGGCGGUACCCGGCGGCUCCACCAUAUAUCCUUCGUUUGGGGAUCAUGGGGCCGAAACAGGAUCGACGAACGUCUAAAGGGGUUAGCUUUGUCUCGGCUGUCUGCCACCGUUAUCGGCGAAACUAGUACAAUUGCAAACGACAAUCGUGCUCCGGUUGCUCUGGCUGCGUAAGCAGUUCGAGUCGAACCGACUUUAAGUCCUAGCGCCUAGCCGCGUUAGGCGGGGUUCGCAGGUACCUGGCAACAGAAACCUGCACU